CUCUGAGGCGGCUGCGGCAGUGCUAAGUCCGCGAUGCUGGUGGGAAAUUUUGAUGGAGCAGCGAGCAUAACUGUUAGGAACAGGGAGUCACCUGGGGCCGAGCGUGCACUCAGUGAUUGGAGUGGGCGGUUAGGGCCUGGCAGGGGAAAGCGGACCGGGGGUCGCCAGGCCAUGGAAGCGGGUAGAGGAGACGGGUACAUGUCCGCUUGCAAGGCGCGACCUCAGGCGGUGUGGAGCAAGGGUUACCGGGCAUGCGUGGGUGUGUGUGUGAGGUGCGGGUGGGGGGAGUGUGUCCGUGUUGACACCAACUGUGUGUAGGUGUGACACCAGUUGGGAGUGUGCCCCACUCCCCUUGCAUGUCAUUUCCCAGUCCCUCCUUCCCCCCCCCCCCCCCCCCCCCGUCAAUCCCUGACCUGCUUUGAGUGUGUAGAUUUGCCUAUUUUGGACUCUUUUCUUUUUGCAGUUUAUGGUUGGGGCUGGGUUUGAACCUGCCACCUCUGGCAUAUGGGGCCAGCGCCCUACUCCUUUGAGCCGCCUGGACUCUUCUUACUAUUGUGGAAAACGAAUACCCAAACACCAUAUUUAAGAGGAAAAAAGCUUUUAUUCAACUGGUGGUGCUAACUGCAUAGAAGAAUUCAAAAUGGCCAUGCUCCCUGGCUGACUUGGUCUUUCCCAUUUUAUCUCUGGUCAAAAAGUUCCAACCCAUGGGUACCUUUCUCAUUGGUCAGUUUGAAUCAAGUGUGGAAAGCUGUUCCAUCCCUCACAGAAGGAUAGGAUUUCACAGAAGUGGAAAUUUCCAGGUCCCAGGAAGUGAACUCUACAAAUUCCUAAGAGCAGAAUCACCAUGGAGAGGACCCUGCAGCUGUAUCCUUGGAGUCUUCUUGAGAAGACAGAAAACAGAAGACCUCUGUUCCUAGACCUCACCCUUCCUGGAAGCUGUUGACCUUUAAGGAUGUGGCUGUAGACAUCACACAGGAAGAAUGGGUGCUGCUGGGCUCAACACAGAGGAUCUUGUACCUGAGACAUGAUGCUGAGGACUCCCUCAUUCCAAACCAGAUAUGAUCACUGAGUCUCUGACAAGCUUCCCUGGUGGAAAGCACUUGGCAUGUGUUGUCAGAAUCUGGAGAUGGAGAAGUCAGACUCAGAGUCUGAGACCCGAACUGCACAGCUGCCUCCAGACAAAGGCUCUCUGCUUUGGGGGUAGAUGACAGUGGGACUCAAGAGACAGGAUUUCUGGCACAGCAUAUUGCAAGAAGUUUUAGGACAUGGAGGUGAGGCAAUGAUGUGUGGCCAGGACAAGAAGAGCCCAGGGCAAGGCCUUGCAGGAAGUUUCUGCCACCCGUUUUUCAUCAGGGCACUCCCCUAGGGACUCAAGCUGCCUUGAGCCGCAUUCUUGAAAAGGGCCUUACAUGCGUUUCAGUCCUAAAUCAAGGCCACACCUGCCAAGGAGACGGAGUGUGUCGGGAGGCCUGAAGGUGUUUCCCAGACCUUGGUCAACCACCAGGAGUCCACACUGAGGGCACUGGCAUGUGGUGAGGGGUAAGACGCCUUUGGCAAGAUGACCUGCCUUGUAAGCUGUCGGCUGAUUAUCAGAAGGAAGCCCUAUGUGUCUGCAGAGUGUGGCAAGGCCUUUGGACACAGCACUCAUCUCGUUUAGCACCAGAGAAACUGCACUGGCAUGUCCACAUGAGCAAGAAGCCCUACGUGUGUGGCCUCUGUGGGAAGUACUUUCGUGAGAGCUAUACUUUACCAACGUGAACCUAGCAGUGAGGUUAAAAGUCUAAACAGGAAAGUAACUGAAAAGGAAAGAGAAAUAUUUAUACAAGUGUCCCUCAAAUAAAGCACCAUGAUGGUUUAA
Nycticebus coucang (slow loris) is the source of this 1858-nucleotide long non-coding RNA. RefSeq lists it as uncharacterized. The transcript has 4 exons. The record is from RefSeq and is a predicted model, not a curated record. Lineage: Eukaryota; Metazoa; Chordata; Mammalia; Primates; Lorisidae.